UAUUACCGAGUGCGGGCCCUCGUGGCCCAACCUCCCACCCUUGUCUCUAUACACCUGUUGCUUUGGCGGGCCCACCGGGGCCACCUGGUCGCCGGGGGACAUCUGUCCCCGGGCCUGCGCCCGCCGAAGCGCUCUGUGAACCCUGAUGAAGAUGGGCUGUCUGAGUACUAUGAAAAUUGUCAAAACUUUCAACAAUGGAUCUCUUGGUUCCGGCAUCGAUGAAGAACGCAGCGAAAUGCGAUAAGUAAUGUGAAUUGCAGAAUUCCGUGAAUCAUCGAAUCUUUGAACAGCACAUUGCGCCCCCUGGCAUUCCGGGGGGCAUGCCUGUCCGAGCGUCAUUUCUGCCCUCAAGCACGGCUUGUGUGUUGGGUGCGGUCCCCCCGGGGACCUGCCCGAAAGGCAGCGGCGACGUCCGUCUGGUCCUCGAGCGUAUGGGGCUUUGUCACUCGCUCGGGAAGGACUGGCGGGGGUUGGUCACCACCAAAAUUUUACCACGGUUGACCUCGGACAGGAGGAGUACCC
Molecule: ribosomal RNA, 522 nt
Filed under: Penicillium sp. Pr31
Lineage: Eukaryota; Fungi; Ascomycota; Eurotiomycetes; Eurotiales; Aspergillaceae
Description: eukaryotic LSU rRNA
Rfam family: 5.8S ribosomal RNA (bases 184-338)
Source: RNAcentral